GUACAGCAUGGACCCGCGACUGAUUAGCUAGUUGGUAAGGUAACGGCUUACCAAGGCGACGAUCAGAAGCCGACCUGCGAGGGUGAUCGGCCACAUUGGAACUGAGACACGAUCCAAACUCCUACGGGAGGCAGCAGUGGGGAAUAUUGCACAAUGGGCGAAAGCCUGAUGCACCAACGCCGCGUGAGUGAUGAAGGCCUUCGGGUCGUAAAACUCUGUCCUCAAGGAAGAUAAUGACGGUACUUGAGGAGGAAGCCCCGGCUAACUUCGUGCCAACAGCCGCGGUAAUGCGUAGGGGGCUAGCGCCAUCCGGCUUCACUGGGCGUAAUGAGGGCGGAGGCGGUAUUGACCGGCAUGACUGACAAGCUACGGCUCAAACGUGGUAAGCACUUUAAAACGGGCGAACUCGGUGCAGCGGGGGAGAGCGGAGUUC
Molecule: ribosomal RNA, 433 nt
Filed under: Clostridioides difficile
Lineage: Bacteria; Bacillati; Bacillota; Clostridia; Peptostreptococcales; Peptostreptococcaceae
Description: bacterial SSU rRNA
Rfam family: Bacterial small subunit ribosomal RNA
Source: RNAcentral